GGGUCCAGUUCAGCCGCCCCAUAUGGUGCGCCUGGACCUUAUCCGCCACCACAGCCACCUGGCUACGGAUACCCGCCGCAGCCUGUACCGGCGGCUUAUGCUGGAUACCCACCGCACGCACCACCUCCACCAGGUUAUGGCUACCCACCUCCGCCUCCAGGUUAUGGUUACCCUCCACCAGGGGGAUAUGGGUACCCACCAGUGCAACAACAGCCACCAAAGAAGAAUAGCAAGUUUGGAAUGGGGUUGGGAGCUGGGUUGCUUGGAGGGGCGAUUGGUGGGUUGUUGAUUGGAGAUAUGGUCUCUGAUGCUGGGGCUUAUGAUGCUGGAUAUGAUGCUGGGUUUGAU
Molecule: long non-coding RNA, 348 nt
Filed under: Theobroma cacao (cacao)
Lineage: Eukaryota; Viridiplantae; Streptophyta; Magnoliopsida; Malvales; Malvaceae
Description: long non-coding RNA (TCAC_LNC002782)
Source: RNAcentral